This 207-nucleotide small RNA is filed under the name Streptomyces sp. Its description in RNAcentral is "c-di-AMP sequence". It matches the Rfam family "c-di-AMP riboswitch aptamer (ydaO/yuaA leader)". From Rfam's summary of the family: This family represents a conserved RNA structure found upstream of the ydaO and yuaA genes in Bacillus subtilis and related genes in other bacteria. The ydaO/yuaA element is thought to act as a genetic "off" switch for the ydaO and yuaA genes in its native state. The record is from RNAcentral. Lineage: Bacteria; Bacillati; Actinomycetota; Actinomycetes; Kitasatosporales; Streptomycetaceae.
CCGGGUGGAUCGCCGAAUCCUGCCGCCGCCCGGAAACCGCACCCGAACCAUUUCGCGCGGCAGGAGCGGGGGAACCAGGUAAGCCGCUGUUCCGGAGAUCCUUUUCCGGUACGGCUCGGGGUGAAGCCGCACAUGUCCCGUACACGUGCGGCCGGACAUCUCCAGUCCGAACCCGACAGCUCACCUCGCAGGCGCCGGAGAGGAAUG